GACGAACGCUGGCGGCGUGCUUAACACAUGCAAGUCGAACGGAAAGGCCCUGCUUUUGUGGGGUGCUCGAGUGGCGAACGGGUGAGUAACACGUGAGUAACCUGCCCUUGACUUUGGGAUAACUUCAGGAAACUGGGGCUAAUACCGGAUAGGAGCUCCUGCUGCAUGGUGGGGGUUGGAAAGUUUCGGCGGUUGGGGAUGGACUCGCGGCUUAUCAGCUUGUUGGUGGGGUAGUGGCUUACCAAGGCUUUGACGGGUAGCCGGCCUGAGAGGGUGAACGGCCACAUUGGGACUGAGAUGCGGCCCAGACUCCUACGGGAGGCAGCAGUGGGGAAUAUUGCACAAUGGGCGGAAGCCUGAUGCAGCAACGCCGCGUGCGGGAUGACGGCCUUCGGGUUGUAAACCGCUUUCGCCUGUGACGAAGCGUGAGUGACGGUAAUGGGUAAAGAAGCACCGGCUAACUACGUG
RNAcentral lists this ribosomal RNA (468 nucleotides) under uncultured bacterium. RNAcentral describes it as "partial 16S ribosomal RNA". It matches the Rfam family "Bacterial small subunit ribosomal RNA", at positions 28 to 507 of the family's 1533-position model. The record is from RNAcentral.